AGCUCAGUUGGUUAGAGCACCUGACUGUUAAUCAGGGGGUCGUUGGUUCAAGCCCAUCCUGAA
RNAcentral lists this transfer RNA (63 nucleotides) under Prevotellamassilia sp. Its description in RNAcentral is "tRNA-Asn". It matches the Rfam family "tRNA", at positions 9 to 63 of the family's 71-position model. Rfam says of the family: Transfer RNA (tRNA) molecules are approximately 80 nucleotides in length. Their secondary structure includes four short double-helical elements and three loops (D, anti-codon, and T loops). RNAcentral also lists the same sequence under 2 other names. The record is from RNAcentral. Lineage: Bacteria; Pseudomonadati; Bacteroidota; Bacteroidia; Bacteroidales; Prevotellaceae.